GGGGAAUAUUGCGCAAUGGGGGAAACCCUGACGCAGCAAUACCGCGUGAGUGAAGAAGGUUUUCGGAUCGUAAAGCUCUGUUAUUGGGGAAGAAAAAAAGACGGUACCCAAGAAGAAAGUCCCGGCUAACUACGUGCCAGCAGCCGCGGUAAUACGUAGGGUGCAAGCGUUGUCCGGAAUUACUGGGCGUAAAGAGUUCGUAGGCGGUUUGUCGCGUCGUUUGUGAAAACCAGCAGCUCAACUGCUGGCUUGCAGGCGAUACGGGCAGACUUGAGUACUGCAGGGGAGACUGGAAUUCCUGGUGUAGCGGUGAAAUGCGCAGAUAUCAGGAGGAACACCGGUGGCGAAGGCGGGUCUCUGGGCAGUAACUGACGCUGAGGAACGAAAGCGUGGGUAGCGAACA
RNAcentral lists this ribosomal RNA (403 nucleotides) under uncultured bacterium. RNAcentral's name for it is "bacterial SSU rRNA". It matches the Rfam family "Bacterial small subunit ribosomal RNA", at positions 356 to 774 of the family's 1533-position model. The record is from RNAcentral.